Molecule: ribosomal RNA, 1556 nt
Filed under: metagenome
Description: bacterial LSU rRNA
Rfam family: Bacterial large subunit ribosomal RNA
Source: RNAcentral
CUAAGGUCUCCAGAGUAAAGCUGAUCUGCUCUGGGUAAGUCGGGGCCUAAGGAGAGGUCGCAAGACGUAUCCGAUGGACAACAGGUUUAGAUUCCUGUACCGCAUAUAAACAGAACUGUGGGGACGCAUGUGGAAAGCAUAAGCCGGGAAUGGAAAGACCGGUACAAGUGGGGUAGGUGUGUGACAGGCAAAUCCGUCACAUAAGCCGAAGACGUGAUGUGGAGCGAAAUUAAGUAGUGAAGUAUGUGAGCCAUGUGCCGAGAAAAGCCGCUAUUGUUUUAUAUGUGCCCGUACCGUAAACCGACACAGGUGGAUGAGGAGAGAAUCCUAAGGCCGACGGAAGAAGCAUUGUUAAGGAAUUCGGCAAAAUGACCCCGUAACUUCGGGAGAAGGGGUGCCCACUGAAUGGUGGGCCGCAGAGAAUAGGCUCAAGCAACUGUUUAGCAAAAACACAGGUCUAUGCGAAACCGAAAGGUGAAGUAUAUGGGCUGACGCCUGCCCGGUGCUGGAAGGUUAAGAGGAGAGGUUAGCGCAAGCGAAGCUUUGAAUUUAAGCCCCAGUAAACGGCGGCCGUAACAAUAACGGUCCUAAGGUAGCGAAAUUCCUUGUCGGGUAAGUUCCGACCCGCACGAAAGGCGUAAUGAUUUGAGCACUGUCUCGACAAUGCAUCCGGUGAAAUUGAAGUACCAGUGAAGAUGCUGGUUACCCGCGCCAGGACGGAAAGACCCCAUGGAGCUUUACUCCAGUUUGAUACUGGGAUUCGGUACUGCACGUACAGGAUAGGUGGGAGACUGAGAACUAUGGACGCCAGUCUGUAGGGAGUCGCUGUUGGGAUACUACCCCUGUAGUACUGGGUUUCUAACCAUCUGCCGUGAUCCGGCAGUGGGACAAUGUCAGGCGGGGAGUUUGACUGGGGCGGUCGCCUCCGAAAGGGUAUCGGAGGCGCUCAAAGGUUCCCUCAGAAUGGUCGGAAACCAUUUGAAGAGUGCAAAGGCAGAAGGGAGCUUGACUGCGACACCGACGGGUGGAGCAGGUACGAAAGUAGGACUUAGUGAUCCGGUGGUAUAAAGUGGGAUUGCCAUCGCUCAACGGAUAAAAGCUACCCUGGGAUAACAGGCUUAUCACUCCCAAGAGUUCACAUCGACGGAGUGGUUUGGCACCUCGAUGUCGGCUCAUCGCAUCCUGGGGCUGUAGCAGGUCCCAAGGGUUGGGCUGUUCGCCCAUUAAAGCGGUACGCGAGCUGGGUUCAGAACGUCGUGAGACAGUUCGGUCCCUAUCCGGCGCGGGCGGAGGAUAUUUGAGAGGAGCUGUCCUUAGUACGAGAGGACCGGGAUGGACGGACCACUGGUGUAUCUGUUGUCGACCAACGGCAUGGCAGAGUAGCCAAGUCUGGAAGGGAUAAACGCUGAAGGCAUCUAAGCGUGAAGCCCCCCUCAAGAUGAGAUAUCCCUCCUUCGGGAGUAAGACCCCUUGAAGACUACAAGGUAGAUAGGGCAGAGGUGGAAGUGUGGCAACACAUGGAGCUGACUGUUACUAAUAGGUCGAGGGCUUGAUAA